RNAcentral lists this ribosomal RNA (236 nucleotides) under uncultured bacterium. Its description in RNAcentral is "partial 16S ribosomal RNA". It matches the Rfam family "Bacterial small subunit ribosomal RNA", at positions 99 to 334 of the family's 1533-position model. The record is from RNAcentral.
CGAACGGGUGAGUAAUGUAUCGCUAACGUGCCCUCCUGUCCGGGAUAGCCGUGGGAAACCGCGGGUAAUACCGGGUGACAUCACUGCCGGGCAUCCGGGAGUGCUCAAAGGGAAACCGCAGGUGGAGCGGGCGAUAUCGUAUCAGCUAGUUGGUGCGGGUAACGGCCCACCAAGGCGACGACGCGUAGCCGGGCUGAGAGGUCGGCCGGCCACAUUGGGACUGAGACACUGCCCAG